GCUCCCGUAGCACAAUGGUAGUGCACCCGGUUUAUACCCGGCACAGUCAGCAGAUUACUGAACGAUGCAGGUUCGAAUCCUACCGGGAGUA
This 91-nucleotide transfer RNA is filed under the name Caudoviricetes sp. RNAcentral's name for it is "tRNA-Ser". It matches the Rfam family "tRNA". From Rfam's summary of the family: Transfer RNA (tRNA) molecules are approximately 80 nucleotides in length. Their secondary structure includes four short double-helical elements and three loops (D, anti-codon, and T loops). Further hydrogen bonds mediate the characteristic L-shaped molecular structure. tRNAs have two regions of fundamental functional importance: the anti-codon, which is responsible for specific mRNA codon recognition, and the 3' end, to which the tRNAs corresponding amino acid is attached (by aminoacyl-tRNA synthetases). tRNAs cope with the degeneracy of the genetic code in two manners: having more than one tRNA (with a specific anti-codon) for a particular amino acid; and 'wobble' base-pairing, i.e. permitting non-standard base-pairing at the 3rd anti-codon position. Lineage: Duplodnaviria; Heunggongvirae; Uroviricota; Caudoviricetes. The record is from RNAcentral.